RNAcentral lists this ribosomal RNA (655 nucleotides) under Lacticaseibacillus paracasei subsp. paracasei. RNAcentral describes it as "bacterial SSU rRNA". It matches the Rfam family "Bacterial small subunit ribosomal RNA", at positions 57 to 677 of the family's 1533-position model. Lineage: Bacteria; Bacillati; Bacillota; Bacilli; Lactobacillales; Lactobacillaceae. The record is from RNAcentral.
GCAGUCGAACGAGUUCUCGUUGAUGAUCGGUGCUUGCACCGAGAUUCAACAUGGAACGAGUGGCGGACGGGUGAGUAACACGUGGGUAACCUGCCCUUAAGUGGGGGAUAACAUUUGGAAACAGAUGCUAAUACCGCAUAGAUCCAAGAACCGCAUGGUUCUUGGCUGAAAGAUGGCGUAAGCUAUCGCUUUUGGAUGGACCCGCGGCGUAUUAGCUAGUUGGUGAGGUAAUGGCUCACCAAGGCGAUGAUACGUAGCCGAACUGAGAGGUUGAUCGGCCACAUUGGGACUGAGACACGGCCCAAACUCCUACGGGAGGCAGCAGUAGGGAAUCUUCCACAAUGGACGCAAGUCUGAUGGAGCAACGCCGCGUGAGUGAAGAAGGCUUUCGGGUCGUAAAACUCUGUUGUUGGAGAAGAAUGGUCGGCAGAGUAACUGUUGUCGGCGUGACGGUAUCCAACCAGAAAGCCACGGCUAACUACGUGCCAGCAGCCGCGGUAAUACGUAGGUGGCAAGCGUUAUCCGGAUUUAUUGGGCGUAAAGCGAGCGCAGGCGGUUUUUUAAGUCUGAUGUGAAAGCCCUCGGCUUAACCGAGGAAGCGCAUCGGAAACUGGGAAACUUGAGUGCAGAAGAGGACAGUGGAACUCCAUGUGUA